UCUGCUCAUGGGCUGCACUGGACUUCAACUUUGCUUUCCCCUGAUGUACUUUUCAAGCUUUGGUAUCAAGGCUCAAACUCGCUGAACAAAACAAGCGAGGGUGCGCUCCGUUACUGUCGGAAGAAAUCACAGAGGAUUGGUAGAGUGU
Vicugna pacos (alpaca) is the source of this 148-nucleotide non-coding RNA. Lineage: Eukaryota; Metazoa; Chordata; Mammalia; Artiodactyla; Camelidae. The record is from RefSeq and is a predicted model, not a curated record.